AUUGAACGCUCGCGGCAGGCCUAACACAUGCCAGUCGAGCGGAGCGGCGGACGGGUGAGUAAUGCCUAGGAAUCUGCCUGGUAGCGGGGGCUACCGUCCGGAAACGGGCGCUAAUACCGCAUACUAUCAGAUGAGCCUAGGUCGGAUUAGCUAGUUGGUGGGGUAAAGGCCUACCAAGGCGACGAUCCGUAACUGGUCUGAGAGGAUGAUCAGUCACACUGGAACUGAGACACGGUGCAUAGUCCUACGGGAGGCAGGUGUGGAGAAGAUUGGAAGAGUGGCCAAGGCCUGAUCCAGCCACGCCGCGGGUAGGAAUAAGGUCGUCGGAUUGUGGAGCACUUUAAGUUGGGAGGCGUUACCAACAGAAUAAGCACCGGCUAACUGCGUGCCAGCCGCCGCGGUAAUAC
This 407-nucleotide ribosomal RNA is filed under the name uncultured bacterium. Its description in RNAcentral is "partial 16S ribosomal RNA". It matches the Rfam family "Bacterial small subunit ribosomal RNA", at positions 30 to 526 of the family's 1533-position model. The record is from RNAcentral.